CACGUAGGGUGCGAGCGUUGUCCGGAAUUAUUGGGCGUAAAGAGCUCGUAGGCGGUGUGUCGCGUCGGCCGUGAAAACCUGCAGCUUAACUGUGGGCUUGCGGUCGAUACGGGCAUCACUGGAGUUCGGCAGGGGAGACUGGAAUUCCUGGUGUAGCGGUGAAAUGCGUAGAUAUCAAGAGGAACACCUGAGGCGAAGGCGGGUUGCUAGGCUGACACUGACGCUGAGGCGCGAAAGCUAGGGGAGCAAACGGG
Molecule: ribosomal RNA, 254 nt
Filed under: uncultured bacterium
Lineage: Bacteria
Description: partial 16S ribosomal RNA
Rfam family: Bacterial small subunit ribosomal RNA
Source: RNAcentral